GCGUUGGUGGUUUAGUGGUAAAAUUAGCCGUUGCCAUAAGAUCAUUGAGUCAUGUGAGCCGAUGUCGGCUAGCCCCGGGUUCGAUUCCCGGCCGACGCA
Teratosphaeriaceae sp. CCFEE 6253 is the source of this 99-nucleotide non-coding RNA. NCBI's taxonomy places the organism in Eukaryota, Fungi, Ascomycota, Dothideomycetes, Mycosphaerellales, Teratosphaeriaceae. The record is from the annotation of a GenBank genome assembly.